This 74-nucleotide transfer RNA is filed under the name Actinomycetota bacterium. RNAcentral's name for it is "Actinobacteria bacterium tRNA-Thr". It matches the Rfam family "tRNA". Rfam says of the family: Transfer RNA (tRNA) molecules are approximately 80 nucleotides in length. Their secondary structure includes four short double-helical elements and three loops (D, anti-codon, and T loops). Further hydrogen bonds mediate the characteristic L-shaped molecular structure. tRNAs have two regions of fundamental functional importance: the anti-codon, which is responsible for specific mRNA codon recognition, and the 3' end, to which the tRNAs corresponding amino acid is attached (by aminoacyl-tRNA synthetases). tRNAs cope with the degeneracy of the genetic code in two manners: having more than one tRNA (with a specific anti-codon) for a particular amino acid; and 'wobble' base-pairing, i.e. permitting non-standard base-pairing at the 3rd anti-codon position. Lineage: Bacteria; Bacillati; Actinomycetota. The record is from RNAcentral.
GCCCGAGUAGCUCAGUUGGUCAGAGCGCCUGUCUUGUAAACAGGGGGUCAAGGGUUCGAAUCCCUUCUCGGGCU